GACAGAGGGUGCAAACGUUGUUCGGAUUUACUGGGCGUAAAGCGUGUGUAGGCGGCUUGGCAAGUUGGAUGUGAAAGCCCACGGCUCAACCGUGGAAGCGCACCCAAAACUGCUUCGCUCGAGUCCCGGAGAGGAAGGUGGAAUGCUUGGUGUAGAGGUGAAAUUCGUAGAUAUCAAGCAGAACACCUGCGGCGAAGGCGGCCUUCUGGACGAUGACUGACGCUGAGACACGAAAGCGUGGGGAGCAAACGGG
Molecule: ribosomal RNA, 253 nt
Filed under: uncultured prokaryote
Description: partial 16S ribosomal RNA
Rfam family: Bacterial small subunit ribosomal RNA
Source: RNAcentral